UCAGCCGCCGCGGUAAAGCCAACACCUCGAGUGGUCAGGAGGUUUAUUGGGCCUAAAGCAUCCGUAGCCGGUUGCAUAAGUUUUCGGUUAAAUCUAUGCGCUUAACGUAUAGGCCGCCGAAAAUACUGUGCAGCUAGGGAGUGGGAGAGGUACACGGUACUCGAUAGGAGGGGGUAAAAUCCUUUGAUCUAUUGAUGACCACCUGUGGCGAAGGCGGAGUACCAGAACACGUUCGACGGUGAGGGAUGAAAGCUGGGGGGGCAAACCGGAUUAGAUACCCGGGUAGUCCCAGCUGUAAACGAUGCAGACUCGGUGAUGCAUUGGCUUGUGGCCAAUGCAGUGCCGCAGGGAAGCCGUUAAGUCUGCCGCCUGGGAAGUACGUACGCAAGUAUGAAACUUAAAGGAAUUGGCGGGGGAGCACA
RNAcentral lists this ribosomal RNA (422 nucleotides) under uncultured archaeon. RNAcentral describes it as "bacterial SSU rRNA". It matches the Rfam family "Archaeal small subunit ribosomal RNA", at positions 458 to 880 of the family's 1478-position model. The record is from RNAcentral.